GACGAACGCUGGCGGCGUGCUUAACACAUGCAAGUCGAACGGAAAGGCCCUGCUUGCAGGGUACUCGAGUGGCGAACGGGUGAGUAACACGUGGGUGAUCUGCCCUGCACUUCGGGAUAAGCCUGGGAAACUGGGUCUAAUACCGGAUAGGAGCCAUUUUUAGUGUGAUGGUUGGAAAGUUUUUUCGGUGUAGGAUGAGCUCGCGGCCUAUCAGCUUGUUGGUGGGGUAAUGGCCUACCAAGGCGGCGACGGGUAGCCGGCCUGAGAGGGUGGACGGCCACAAUGGGACUGGGAUACGGCCCAGACUCCUACGGGAGGCAGCCGUGGGGAAGAUUGCACAAAGGGCGCAAGCCUGAUGCAGCGACGCCGCGGGGGGGAUGACGGCCUUCGGGUUGGAAACUCCUUUCGCUAGGGACGAAGCUUUUUGUGACGGUACCUAGAUAAGAAGCACCGGCUAACUACGUG
This 465-nucleotide ribosomal RNA is filed under the name uncultured bacterium. RNAcentral's name for it is "partial 16S ribosomal RNA". It matches the Rfam family "Bacterial small subunit ribosomal RNA", at positions 28 to 507 of the family's 1533-position model. The record is from RNAcentral.